Molecule: ribosomal RNA, 253 nt
Filed under: uncultured bacterium
Lineage: Bacteria
Description: partial 16S ribosomal RNA
Rfam family: Bacterial small subunit ribosomal RNA
Source: RNAcentral
GACGGAGGAUGCAAGCGUUAUCCGGAAUGAUUGGGCGUAAAGCGUCCGCAGGUGGCAGUUCAAGUCUGCUGUCAAAGACCGGGGCUUAACUUCGGAAAGGCAGUGGAAACUGAACAGCUAGAGUAUGGUAGGGGCAGAGGGAAUUCCUGGUGUAGCGGUGAAAUGCGUAGAUAUCUGGAGGAACACCGGUGGCGAAGGCGGCAUCCUGGACCGAUACUGACACUGAGGAGCGAAAGCCAGGGGAGCAAACGGG